This is a ribozyme of Heterocephalus glaber (naked mole-rat), 229 nucleotides long. It matches the Rfam family "Nuclear RNase P". From Rfam's summary of the family: Ribonuclease P (RNase P) is a ubiquitous endoribonuclease, found in archaea, bacteria and eukarya as well as chloroplasts and mitochondria. Its best characterised activity is the generation of mature 5'-ends of tRNAs by cleaving the 5'-leader elements of precursor-tRNAs. The record is from Ensembl. Lineage: Eukaryota; Metazoa; Chordata; Mammalia; Rodentia; Bathyergidae.
GGAAGGAAAUAAAAAAGAUCAGAGCAGGAGUGCAUCACAUCACUCUACCAUGGCCCAUGGGAAGGUUUGAGACUAGGGCCAAGAGCAGCCCUAACAGGGCCCUUACUGAGCUCCAGGGAGAAGGUGGCCACCCCCAGCAUUGAGGAGAGCUGUGCGGAUGCCAGCAGCACAUCCCCCCAUGGCCAUUCAAAUGAGAAGACACAUAAACAUGUCUCACAACCAGACAUCC